GCACACUGCUGGGAAAUUUUCUUGUUUUCUUCUUUCUUUUCAGGGUAAAGCACAUCCAGACAUCGACACACGAUGAAUGGGAACAUAAAUCAUCUCAACUAGAUGCCAACGGACAACUAGGAAACACUCAACGUUUACCAAAACCAACGGAGAGGUAACUCAACUCUACUGGGGAUAACCAGGAAAGGAUACAACCAUACGUCAGCGGACGUAAUGGGGAAAAACUCAACGU
RNAcentral lists this long non-coding RNA (232 nucleotides) under Lathyrus oleraceus (garden pea). Its description in RNAcentral is "Pisum sativum (pea) long non-coding RNA (PSAT_LNC010291)". The record is from RNAcentral. Lineage: Eukaryota; Viridiplantae; Streptophyta; Magnoliopsida; Fabales; Fabaceae.